ACACAUCCGACGAGUCCAAAAUAGGACGAAACGCACGUCUUGGAU
Schistosoma curassoni is the source of this 45-nucleotide non-coding RNA. The record is from Rfam. NCBI's taxonomy places the organism in Eukaryota, Metazoa, Platyhelminthes, Trematoda, Strigeidida, Schistosomatidae.